Suricata suricatta (meerkat) is the source of this 377-nucleotide long non-coding RNA. RefSeq lists it as uncharacterized. The record is from RefSeq and is a predicted model, not a curated record. Lineage: Eukaryota; Metazoa; Chordata; Mammalia; Carnivora; Herpestidae. The transcript has 3 exons.
UUAGCGAAGGGCCACCCGGAAGGUGGAGCUCCCCCGAGGAGCAAUGGAGGAAGCCCCGCCCCUCUCUCCUUACCGGGAAAAGGAAGGGGGAGGCGUAACUAGGGCCGGCAUCCCCUAGCAGCAACAAAUACACUCCCUAAACGUGCCGAGGCCCGGACAUCCUGAAGAGGAACCAGACUGAAGUUGCUAUCACACUAUAAGUCACAUAAGACAUUGGGGAUAAGGAGCCACCGUCUGGAAUGGUGGGAGAUGGGGGCUAGAUUAGCGGCUACCACCCUGCCAUGAGCCCAGGAAGGAAACUUUCGAGGUUGAUCCCCCCAAAGUUCCACAACCCACCUUGGAAGCAGCUCUGGUUUCUAUAUGGGACAGAAAUAAAC